RNAcentral lists this transfer RNA (69 nucleotides) under Ictidomys tridecemlineatus (thirteen-lined ground squirrel). RNAcentral describes it as "Spermophilus tridecemlineatus (thirteen-lined ground squirrel) tRNA". It matches the Rfam family "tRNA". From Rfam's summary of the family: Transfer RNA (tRNA) molecules are approximately 80 nucleotides in length. Their secondary structure includes four short double-helical elements and three loops (D, anti-codon, and T loops). Further hydrogen bonds mediate the characteristic L-shaped molecular structure. tRNAs have two regions of fundamental functional importance: the anti-codon, which is responsible for specific mRNA codon recognition, and the 3' end, to which the tRNAs corresponding amino acid is attached (by aminoacyl-tRNA synthetases). tRNAs cope with the degeneracy of the genetic code in two manners: having more than one tRNA (with a specific anti-codon) for a particular amino acid; and 'wobble' base-pairing, i.e. permitting non-standard base-pairing at the 3rd anti-codon position. Lineage: Eukaryota; Metazoa; Chordata; Mammalia; Rodentia; Sciuridae. The record is from Rfam by way of RNAcentral.
GGGGAUGUGGCUCAGUGGUAGAGCACAUGCCUAGCAUGUGUGAGGCACUUGGUUCGACUCUCAGCACCA